AGGACGUUCUAGGUCUCCUGGAGCUGGAGCUGACUUCACCACCUGCGGCUCGUUUGCUCAUCAGGAGACCAGUAUAUAAGGAGGCAGAGGACAUCACUCCGACGCCAGAGUAUUUUGCCAGUUAUGGUUGAACCUGCCUGAAACCUGAAACCUGGAAGAGUUUCUCUGCUGGAAAUCUGUCAGUCUGAUCUCUGAGGAACCCUGGAGAAUCAAACCUGUCAAAGACCUGCCUGCCCGCUCUCAGAAGAAUCUGAAAGGGAAACUCAAACCUGUUCCUGCAAACUCUCAAACCAAUCUCUGCCUCCGCCAAGCCCUCAGCCUGCCGACAGCCUCUGGACCCUCCUGGUUCACCCUCUCUGCCGCUCUGCUCAACUCCAGAUCAGUGAACCCAGUCGUGACCAGUCCUGGAUCUAAUAACCCCUU
Long non-coding RNA from Cyprinodon tularosa, 423 nucleotides. RefSeq lists it as uncharacterized. The record is from RefSeq and is a predicted model, not a curated record. The transcript has 3 exons. Lineage: Eukaryota; Metazoa; Chordata; Actinopteri; Cyprinodontiformes; Cyprinodontidae.